CCCAUCACCAUGCCUGGCUAUAUUAUUAAUUUUUUUUUAAUGAGAGAUUUGGUCUUACUAUAUUGCCUAAGCUGGUCUCCAACUCCUGGCCUCAAGUGAUCUUCCCACCUCCUCCUCCCAAGGUGCUGGGUUUACGAGUGUGAGAUGCCAUAAAGAAAAUGAUCAAGGAAUUAGAAAAUAGACAUAAUCUGGUAUUAGUGAUGGAUGGGUGAAAAUCCUUUUAUUUUAGGAAGUGUUCCGAUUGCAUCUUGUCACAGCAGCUGAAAGAAAUUAUAGCUGGAGUCUUUGUGGUAAGCAUAGCCCUAAGAUGGUUUUCAAGAUUCCUAGUUGCUGAUGGUGUCUCAGUCCCGCACCUUGUAUAAUCCUCUCCCUUUGGAAGGAGGCAGGAACUGUGAAUAUAAUGGAAUAGCCACUCCAAAGAUUACAUUACAUCACGUAAGCCUCUGUCUUAGAUGGGAGGGAUUCUCCUCUUGGCUGUCAGCUGCCGUAUUGUGAGAGGGAUCUGUGAAAGGGCCAAGGAACAAGGAACCUUGGGGUCCCCCAGGACCUGACAGUGGGCCCUGGCUGAUAGCCAACAACAAAGCUCUGAAGCUGCAAGAAACUGAAUUCUGCGAAGAUGACCCUGAGGUUGAGAAAGUAUCACUGCCCGGCUGAUAUCUCAUGAGAUUCCUGCACUUAUGACAACCUGACCCAGCCAGGAGUUCUGAUUCACAGAAAUUGUGAGAUAAUAA
Molecule: long non-coding RNA, 731 nt
Filed under: Homo sapiens (human)
Lineage: Eukaryota; Metazoa; Chordata; Mammalia; Primates; Hominidae
Description: HSALNT0315470
Source: RNAcentral